AGUUUCCCCUGAUGGCAGGCCUUGUUAAGAAGAUUAGAGUACUGUGGCCUGUUUCAAAAUGGUUCCUUUUCCUCCUGCCCCUGUCAGAAGACCAAAGGGAUUUUUCUCGGACAAUUUCUAUGGGAACCUGGUCGAGCUCCUGAAGGCAAAUUUCACAAUACUGUGGGGGCCCCCAUGACUGGGUCCCCCUAGGGUUUUUAACUCUCAGACUUGUCUGCCCUGAGCCUCUAGUAAUUCAUCAAAUACGGUGCAGGUUUUCCUACCCCGUCACUGGCUCCUACAGUGGUUUCUGCUCCUGAGUCGGCCCUGGUUCUGCAGAGAGAAUACAGCUGCUGACAUCUUACUUUUCUGCCCAGUGAGACUCAUUUCAGAAUUCUGACCUCUAGAACUAAACUACAAGAUGCUCCAGGCUCACUGUGUAUAUGUCACGGCACUGCCCUAGAAUCAACAGUUUCUCUAAGGAGUUCUGGCUCCUUUUAUUGGAAAAUGGGUUUAAAAACCAAAAUCUGGGGACUCAUUGCUACUGAGGUGUUGUUGUUUCUAGACCUUCUCCGAGGACAAAAAAGGAAUAUGUGUAUAAUAACAAGUAUAUAUAUAUAUAUACAUCUCUAAAGAAUUUUAUGUGUUUCUACCUGUGUCUAUAUUAAGCUAUACAUGAAUUCAUACUGAUGUCCUCAACUCUAAUUCAUUAGGAUCUAAACGACUUUAGUUUCUUUGCCUUUCUUAUCUGUAACCUUCCACCCU
RNAcentral lists this long non-coding RNA (744 nucleotides) under Equus caballus (horse). RNAcentral describes it as "lncRNA (ENSECAG00000056279.1)". Lineage: Eukaryota; Metazoa; Chordata; Mammalia; Perissodactyla; Equidae. The record is from RNAcentral.